Long non-coding RNA from Sinocyclocheilus rhinocerous, 291 nucleotides. RefSeq lists it as uncharacterized. NCBI's taxonomy places the organism in Eukaryota, Metazoa, Chordata, Actinopteri, Cypriniformes, Cyprinidae. The record is from RefSeq and is a predicted model, not a curated record. The transcript has 3 exons.
AUCCAUUGAAGAUGGGAGAAAUGUUGAUUAUAUAGAGACGGAGCAGCUGAUCCCUCAGACGCAGAUGUGAUUCGGCACGGAUCCAGCGGCACUAAAACUACAUACAGGAGACGACAACAAAUAAUGUGAGGAGCAGAAACACAAGAGAAACAUGGAGGAGAUAAAGCUGAUCCUUCACUGCAGCAGAACUCCUGAGCAGCAUCUGAGCGCUGCAUCUGCUAAAGCGUUUGUAAGCGUAUUAUUUCUGCAGGAUUCUUGGGUCGUGAUGUAGCCUAAAACCCCAGAGGCUCA